AUUGAACGCUGGCGGCAGGCCUAACACAUGCAAGUCGAGCGGAUGAAGGGAGCUUGCUCCUGGAUUCAGCGGCGGACGGGUGAGUAAUGCCUAGGAAUCUGCCUGGUAGUGGGGGAUAACGUCCGGAAACGGGCGCUAAUAUCGCAUACGUCCUGAGGGAGAAAGUGGGGGAUCUUCGGACCUCACGCUAUCAGAUGAGCCUAGGUCGGAUUAGCUAGUUGGUGGGGUAAAGGCCUACCAAGGCGACGAUCCGUAACUGGUCUGAGAGGAUGAUCAGUCACACUGGAACUGAGACACGGUCCAGACUCCUACGGGAGGCAGCAGUGGGGAAUAUUGGACGAUGGGCGAAAGCCUGAUCCAGCCAUGCCGCGUGUGUGAAGAAGGUCUUCGGAUUGUAAAGCACUUUAAGUUGGGAGGAAGGGCAGUAAGUUAAUACCUUGCUGUUUUGACGUUACCAACAGAAUAAGCACCGGCUAACUUCGUG
RNAcentral lists this ribosomal RNA (484 nucleotides) under uncultured bacterium. RNAcentral's name for it is "partial 16S ribosomal RNA". It matches the Rfam family "Bacterial small subunit ribosomal RNA", at positions 30 to 507 of the family's 1533-position model. The record is from RNAcentral.